RNAcentral lists this ribosomal RNA (301 nucleotides) under uncultured bacterium. RNAcentral's name for it is "partial 16S ribosomal RNA". It matches the Rfam family "Bacterial small subunit ribosomal RNA", at positions 509 to 807 of the family's 1533-position model. The record is from RNAcentral.
CAGUCGCCGCGGGAAUACGUAGGGCGCAAGCGUUAUCCGGAAUUAUUGGGCGUAAAGAGCUCGUAGGCGGUUUGUCGCGUCUGCCGUGAAAGUCCGGGGCUCAACCCCGGAUCUGCGGUGGGUACGGGCAGACUAGAGUGAUGUAGGGGAGACUGGAAUUCCUGGUGUAGCGGUGAAAUGCGCAGAUAUCAGGAGGAACACCGAUGGCGAAGGCAGGUCUCUGGGCAUUAACUGACGCUGAGGUACGAAAGCAUGGGGAGCAAACAGGAUUAGAUACCCCGGUAGUCCCUGUCUCUUAUAC